This 62-nucleotide transfer RNA is filed under the name Temnothorax cagnianti. RNAcentral's name for it is "tRNA-Leu". The record is from RNAcentral. Lineage: Eukaryota; Metazoa; Arthropoda; Insecta; Hymenoptera; Formicidae.
UAUGGCAGAUUAAGUGCAAUGGACUUAAAAUCCUCUUAUAAAGAUUUAUUCUUUUAUUAAAA